AACGAACGCUGGCGGCAUGCCUAACACAUGCAAGUCGAACGAAACCUUCGGGUCUAGUGGCGCACGGGUGCGUAACGCAUGGGAACCUGCCCUUAGGUUCGGAAUAACUCCCCGAAAGGGGUGCUAAUACCGGAUAAUGUCUUCGGACCAAAGAUUUAUCGCCUUUGGAUGGGCCCGCGUUGGAUUAGCUAGUUGGUAGGGUAAUAGCCUACCAAGGCGACGAUCCAUAGCUGGUCUGAAAGGAUGAUCAGCCACACUGGGACUGAGACACGGCCCAGACUCCUACGGGAGGCAGCAGUGGGGAAUAUUGGACAAUGGGCGAAAGCCUGAUCCAGCAAUGCCGCGUGAGUGAUGAAGGCCUUAGGGUUGUAAAGCUCUUUUACCCGGGAUGAUAAUGACAGUACCGGGAGAAUAAGCUCCGGCUAACUCCGUG
RNAcentral lists this ribosomal RNA (433 nucleotides) under uncultured bacterium. Its description in RNAcentral is "partial 16S ribosomal RNA". It matches the Rfam family "Bacterial small subunit ribosomal RNA", at positions 29 to 507 of the family's 1533-position model. The record is from RNAcentral.